AUUAGAUUAGGAGUCAGAUCAGAACAGCUACAAAUAACGCAAAGGCGGUGCUGUAGGAUGGGAUCAGAUGGGAGGUAAUGCACAAUAUGAGUAAACUGAAGGAGCGAUUUCAUGGAAAAAAAAAUAGGCAUAAUAAAAUUAGGCGACCUGUAACAUUAUUUUCCAUAGUGCCAUCUCUGAACAGUGUUUCGUACACUGAGUUUCAUUUUGCUGUGUUUACAACCGCGCAAUUAGAAAUUCAGGCAGUGACUGGUUUAAAUCACAAUUACAGAGACAGCUACACAAGUGAGUCACAUUAAGUUAAAUACCAAUUAGCAGUAUGUGCCAGUUUUAAUAGAGCUCUGGCAAUUAGCAUUAUUAUGUGUGUUUCCAAGGCACAAAAAGACAACUUACAGAAGUCACUGCCAAUCUCCGCUUAAUUGGUUCCAAACUUCUGCACCAUAGCAAGAAGCAGCAGCUCAGCGAUCAUGAAAAAUGCUUUUAGGAAGACUUUUGGGCACGACGAAGGUGGACUCUCGCCAGAGUGGCUAACUAGUAGCUACAAAAAAAAAAAAAAAAAAAAAAAAGACUGUGGACUUAACAUUCUUACUGUUGUUUUUACUGUUCACUCUCAGUGCAUGAGGCUCCUCCUGGGCAGUCUGUAACUAUCACCAAAGCAUCCAAGAUGUGCAAUCUGUGCAAACUCUGACCCUUGUUUGGCCAUUUCUGUUCUCACAACUGUCUUUCCAACACUGUCAGCAUCACAUUGACUCAUAUCAGAAAUGCUAACAGCCUAUUGGUAAAACCUCAGAAAUGUCAGAGACACACACACAGUCUUCAGUAAAAAACUUUGGGGAAACUCAGUCCCUCCAUUUCAGCUUCUAGUUUCCAGUAACUGUUGACCAGUCUUGUACUGGGCUUCAAAUCUGGAACGAUGUUGACCCUUUGCUCUUUCAAAGCUUCUGUUUUGCAUUUACAGUAAUGUGCAGACUGCUAACUCAAUGGAUGAACCAUUAUUGUGUCAGCACAUAACAGACAAUUUAGCAAACAACCAGUUUUAAACCGUAUCUUCAGGCACUUUGUUACUAGCAGGAAGUCUCUUUUAGGUUUUACUUUGAGGAAACAAAAACUUAGAGAAGAAAAAAAGAUAGUGGCCUAAAAAUAGGCAGAAAAAUCCACAGCAGAUGAUCAAAAUCUAAAAGUCAUUCAAAAACCUGAAAAAUCCAGAAUAGACUGAAC
Molecule: long non-coding RNA, 1218 nt
Organism: Astatotilapia calliptera (eastern happy)
Lineage: Eukaryota; Metazoa; Chordata; Actinopteri; Cichliformes; Cichlidae
Source: Ensembl